CAUUAAUGAAUAAACUUGGUUAGGUUGUUGCUGGCUCUUAGGAGCAUGUGCACGCCGACUCCAUCUUUAACCACCUGUGCACCUUGCGUAGAUCUGAUAUUCUCGAGGAAACUCGGUUUGAGAAUUGCUGUGCACCUGCCAGCUCUUCUUGUAAUCAGGUCUAUGUUACUAUAUACUCCACAUGAAUGUAAUCGAAUGCUUUAAUUGGCCUUUUGUGCCUUUAAAAACAAAUACAACUUUCAACAACGGAUCUCUUGGCUCUCGCAUCGAUGAAGAACGCAGCGAAAUGCGAUAAGUAAUGUGAAUUGCAGAAUUCAGUGAAUCAUCGAAUCUUUGAACGCACCUUGCGCUCCUUGGUAUUCCGAGGAGCAUGCCUGUUUGAGUGUCAUGAAAUUCUCAACCUUUCUAGCUUUUAUAGCUUGUCAGGCUUGGAUUGUGGGAGUUGCUGGUUCAGCACGAAUCAGCUCUUCUUAAAUGUAUUAGCAGAAACCUUUGCUGACCAUCUUUGAUAUGAUAAUUAUCUAUAUCAUUGACAAUCAGUGUCCUUCCAAGGAGAGGCUUCGCUUCUAAUAGUCUCUUAGACAAUUUGACAACUUUGACCUCAAAUCAGGUAGGACUACCCGCUGAACUUAAG
RNAcentral lists this ribosomal RNA (634 nucleotides) under Entoloma fuscohebes. RNAcentral describes it as "eukaryotic LSU rRNA". The stretch from base 235 to 388 matches the Rfam family "5.8S ribosomal RNA". The record is from RNAcentral. Lineage: Eukaryota; Fungi; Basidiomycota; Agaricomycetes; Agaricales; Entolomataceae.